Molecule: non-coding RNA, 73 nt
Organism: Symsagittifera roscoffensis
Lineage: Eukaryota; Metazoa; Xenacoelomorpha; Acoela; Convolutidae
Source: the annotation of a RefSeq genome assembly
GGCUUUGUAGCACAGUGGUUAAUGCGCCUGUCUUGUAAACAGGAGAUCGACGGUUCGAAUCCGUCUGAAGACU